GGGGGCCGGGGGAGGGGAGGGAAGGGCGGCUCCAUCACAAAAAGCUCCACAGAUGAAACUGGGUCGCAGAAGAAACUGGGCCACCAGGGCAACUUUACCACCCAGGAAAACCAGGUUCCCCUCGCUUCACCACGCCCACUUUUCAACAGCAGUGAUGAUAACGGAUGCUGUGGAAAUGAGAUCCACCGCUGCGUCCUGGGUGCCAGGAAGCACUGUGACGAUGUGGAGGUGGGGGAAGCGUCUUCAGCAAGCGCAUUCACCUUUGGAGUCGCCCCAUUAGGAUGAAAACUCUGUGACGAUGGGGUUUGGGGGAAGCAUCUUCAGCAAGCGCAUUCACCUUUGGAGUCUCCCCAUUAGGAUGAGUCCACAUAGUGGGGCUGCUAAAAGAAAGCAAUUACGGCAUCCAAAUUGGAUUUUGUUUCUCCGCGUGAUCAUUCGAUGUGGUUUGCUCUACCUCUGGGUUCAGUUGCAAUUUACGUCUGCCCCUUUAAUUUGCAAAGGUGAUUGGCAGCUCACUAAUAACUUGGUGCCGAUACAGGAGAUUACAGGAUGAAAAUAAAACCCAGAAUUCUA
Molecule: long non-coding RNA, 573 nt
Organism: Mesocricetus auratus (golden hamster)
Lineage: Eukaryota; Metazoa; Chordata; Mammalia; Rodentia; Cricetidae
Exons: 2
Source: RefSeq, a predicted model, not a curated record